Molecule: non-coding RNA, 74 nt
Organism: Gymnothorax javanicus (giant moray)
Lineage: Eukaryota; Metazoa; Chordata; Actinopteri; Anguilliformes; Muraenidae
Source: the annotation of a GenBank genome assembly
GGCGGUAUGGCUCAGGCAGUAGAGCGGGUGAUCUUGGAAUCCGCAGGUUUCUGGUUCAAUCCCCGGCUCCUCCA